GGGGAUAUAGCUCAGUUGGUAGAGUGCUUGCCUUGCAUGCACAAAGCCCUGGGUUCAACCCCCAGCACCA
Molecule: transfer RNA, 70 nt
Filed under: Marmota marmota marmota (Alpine marmot)
Lineage: Eukaryota; Metazoa; Chordata; Mammalia; Rodentia; Sciuridae
Also listed under: 1 other name
Rfam family: tRNA
About the family: Transfer RNA (tRNA) molecules are approximately 80 nucleotides in length. Their secondary structure includes four short double-helical elements and three loops (D, anti-codon, and T loops). Further hydrogen bonds mediate the characteristic L-shaped molecular structure. tRNAs have two regions of fundamental functional importance: the anti-codon, which is responsible for specific mRNA codon recognition, and the 3' end, to which the tRNAs corresponding amino acid is attached (by aminoacyl-tRNA synthetases). tRNAs cope with the degeneracy of the genetic code in two manners: having more than one tRNA (with a specific anti-codon) for a particular amino acid; and 'wobble' base-pairing, i.e. permitting non-standard base-pairing at the 3rd anti-codon position.
Source: Rfam by way of RNAcentral